CAGUCGGAGCUGCUGGGACCCUCUCACAGUAGCUUUUCAAAUUGCAAGAGAGACAGUAGUUUUUAGAGAACUUUAAGACUCCUAAGAAGCUACAACUAUUGUAAUUGGAGUAUUUUAAACAUUUAAAUGUAUCUAAAGUUAGUAUUUCCGUCUGAAUUUGAAUGUAGUUAGUCUAAAAACAGUUGUGGGAAAUGAGAAGAGCAGGAAACUAAGAAGUUAGUGGAAGCACGCCUUGCCUCUUCCCAAACUAUCUGUGUGAAGUAUUACUAGAUUAGUUACUAGCAGUUUGAAAUGGAGGAAUAAAGCUUGAGCAAUUGACCGAUAUUAUCAUCCAUCAACCAUGAUGUUUCCCACUACAAAAUGGCAGUUUUGGAAAAAUAUUCGGAAGUAAUCAGAAGAAACAGUUUUCAUCUGAGUAGUUUAAGGAUUCCUUGGCUGAAAUAAAGGAAACCACACCACAGAAACUACACGAGUAAAAUGGGCCACUCAUAAGCUUGAGGCGACAACCUAGAGCACAAGCACUUACGUGCAACCCUCUGCAGAACACUAAGAACAGUAAUUUUGGAGCAUGACCUUUUCUUCAAGCUUAAGGAAAUGACAAUAGGAAAAUUAUUCAUCAACUGGUAAUGGAAAGAAGAUGGCUAUGGUAUAUGUACAUUGACAGAAAACAAAACUAAUAAACAAACCAAGAAGUUGCCAAGCAAGGUUCAGAUAUGUUUGUUACAUUCUGUGGAGACAGAGAAGAAAAACUAGAUCUAAAGCCUGGCCAGCAUGGUGAAAUGCUAUUUCUACUAAA
Molecule: non-coding RNA, 796 nt
Organism: Macaca mulatta (Rhesus monkey)
Lineage: Eukaryota; Metazoa; Chordata; Mammalia; Primates; Cercopithecidae
Source: RefSeq, a predicted model, not a curated record